GAGCUAUGAAGAUCUUGCAUUAACUGUGAUGGCUGGGUCUGUCACCAACACCUUUCAGGUGAAUUAGUAGUGCUUCUGAGUUC
Small nucleolar RNA from Lupinus angustifolius (narrow-leaved blue lupine), 83 nucleotides. It matches the Rfam family "small nucleolar RNA snoR114". The record is from Rfam. NCBI's taxonomy places the organism in Eukaryota, Viridiplantae, Streptophyta, Magnoliopsida, Fabales, Fabaceae.